RNAcentral lists this ribosomal RNA (501 nucleotides) under uncultured bacterium. RNAcentral's name for it is "bacterial SSU rRNA". It matches the Rfam family "Bacterial small subunit ribosomal RNA", at positions 29 to 524 of the family's 1533-position model. The record is from RNAcentral.
AACGAACGCUGGCGGCGCGCUUAACACAUGCAAGUCGAACGAGAAGGCGUAGCAAUACGCUUGUACAGUGGCGAACGGGUGAGUAAUACGUGGGCGACCUACCCUCGAGUGGGGAAUAACCCGCCGAAAGGCGGGCUAAUGCCGCGUACGCUUCCAUCUUUAUGGAGGUGGAAGGAAAGCCGUGCCGUGGGCACGGCGCUCAAGGAUGGGCUCACGUCCUAUCAGCUUGUUGGUAGGGAACGGCCUACCAAGGCUCCGACGGGUAGCUGGUCUGAGAGGACGAUCAGCCACACUGGCACUGCGACACGGGCCAGACUCCUACGGGAGGCAGCAGUGAGGAAUAUUGCGCAAUGGGCGAAAGCCUGACGCAGCGACGCCGCGUGGGGGAUGAAGGUCUUCGGAUUGUAAACCCCUUUCGGGAGGGAAGAUGGGACGGGCAACCGUUCGGACGGUACCUCCAGAAGCAGCCACGGCUAACUUCGUGCCAGCCGCCGCAGUAAC